Molecule: ribosomal RNA, 253 nt
Filed under: uncultured bacterium
Lineage: Bacteria
Description: partial 16S ribosomal RNA
Rfam family: Bacterial small subunit ribosomal RNA
Source: RNAcentral
UACGGAGGAUGCAAGCGUUAUCCGGAUUUAUUGGGUUUAAAGGGUGCGUAGGCGGACCUAUAAGUCAGCGGUGAAAGACUGUCGCUCAACGAUAGCAUUGCCGUUGAUACUGUAGAUCUUGAGUAUAUUUGAGGUGGGCGGAAUGUGUAGUGUAGCGGUGAAAUGCUUAGAUAUUACACAGAACACCAAUUGCGAAGGCAGCUCACUAAACUAUAACUGACGCUGAGGCACGAAAGCGUGGGGAUCAAACAGG